GGUGCUCCCGGAGGGCUGUGCCGGGGUCCCCGGGGCGCAGGGAGGGUCGCUGCGGGCAGCUCGGGCGGCCCCCGGGGAGCGCCGGGGCGCGGGGCCGCGGGGCGGGGGGGCCGCGCCCGGCUCCGAAACCGUUACUUGGGCUCCUGCGGCUCCGCUCCCCUUGCUCUUCCUGUCCAAAUAAUUUUAAAUUUACGCGCCUUAAAUAACAGUCUGAUUUUAUUUAUUUAGUUUCCUCCGCGGGCUCCGCCGCCGCUUCGCUGCGCCCCGGUUCCCCCGGCAGGCCCGGGGCGGCCGCCGGGCGGGCAGCGCUGCGCGGCCCCGGGGCUCGGACACCCCGGCCGCCCCCGCCGCCGCAACUUCCACUGCGCCCCUUUUUUUAUUUUUUUUUUCUACCUUCUUCCUUCUUCUUCUUUUUUUUUUUUUUCCCUUUUCUCCUUCCCCCUCCCUUUCCUCCCUCUCCCCGCAGCCGGGACUGGAGUCUCCUCAGCGAAACUCCGGUGCUUUCGCAGCCGCAGUGAGUACAGAGAAGGGACCCGCGUCUUGCCGGGGGAUGUUUCCAACGCAUCUUUGCGGCCGCUGCCGGGCGGCGGCGGCGGCGGGGCUCCCGCUGCUGCGCCGGGCUCUCCUCCCCAGCCCCGCGCCCAGGGAUGCACAAGCAUCUUCUCCCACCGCAGCUCACGUAGAAGGCAAAACCAAGCAGGCCUACCAAAGAGAGAUUCUAGCUGGAGGCAAGUCAAUGCACUACUUGUCUGAAUAGUAUUUUAAGUGUGCUUUCCUUUUUCCUUAAGAGGCAACAUAAAAGACAAAGACUUUUCAAAAGAAGAAGGACCUGGGAAUUCUCAAUACUGCAAGUUAGCUCCUUUUCGUAAAGAGAAACCACAGAUGGAUUUCACUGAGAAGAUGGUAGCUGCCAGAAGGUGGUGAGGACAGACCCAUGUGUGACAUUGUUGUAUUGAAGUGUACCAGAACAUGAAUUCUGAACGCUGGCAAACUUCAGAACAUAAACAUUUCCACUCUGACAACAGAUUACAGCCAACUGUUUAAAUGUCUAGAGGUGAGAAAAAGUUUCAUUGACUUGUGUUGCCAGUUCUGUAUUGAUAUUAGUCUGACAUAAAUUUUGUAUUUGCAUGAUCUUUUCUGUCUGUAGUAUUUGUACAGCCCUAAACCACAACAUGUGUCUUUCCUCCUCUAUAGGAGCCUCUAAGGCCCUAGAAAAUCCAUUCUGACUAUUACUUCUUCCCCAAACUAAGUAGAGGAAGUAAAAAACCAAAGAGAACUGAAGUUAAACUGCCCUGUGCUUCUGCUAAAACACAGAAACCAUACUCAUAAAUCCCAUCCUCUGAGGACCCAUCCCUCUGCUUCCUUGUCCCCAACCUGCAAAAAGCGUGGUAGCAAAAGGAGCAGGCUCACAGCUACACCUCGGCAUAUACAGGGAUAUAAAAAGACAUUUGUGAACACUAAAAUAUUUCCAUUUUCCAUCUCGUGGACCUUUGUACAGCUUUUGAGCCAGCGGUGCAAAGCCACUAUUAAUGACCUAUCUGACAAAACAGGAGUGAAUGGCUGGCAAAAGCAGUGCCUUCAACCACCCCUACUUCCAAGAAUCCAGGCAUGACUGGUAGUAGCUCCUCCUCUUCAGAGCUCUCACAGGUGCAGUCUGUCUUGGUGCAAGGCCAAACAUGAACCUCUGCUUCCUCUUUAGUCUCUGUGAGUCCACCAUGAACAGCAGGUCUCUUCUGGCACUUGACAAGUUUGCAGUUUUUCAAACAUGCUCAGAUUUGGAGCAUCCUAACUAAGGGAAAAGUUGUAACUGGGAUUAGCAGCUAUUCCUUCUGGUGAUCGGCCUCAAGGUAAAUAAAUGCAACAUCUCUACCAUGAGAUGCAGAGGAAAUCCCACCUAUGUCCUGACUGCAUAUCAGGAUGGGACCAGUUUGCACUCUGGUUUCCAAAGAAAGGCUAUUUUGACAUACCAGCCAGCAGGGAGGCACCACAGUUUUCCAUGGGACCUCCUCGCUGUGGAGGAUCAAACUGUGAUCACAGCCUCACACCACGGCGCAGUGUGACCUGUGGUUUUCACUGAACUACAUCAACGACACAGGCCCCAGCCUCACAGAGAAAACAAAACAUGAAAAUAGCUAACUCAGUCUUUUAGCUGCCCAUAUCUCAUUCCCAGUGGUGCCACUGCCCAACUGAAAAUACCAGUGACAACGCUGGAGUUUCAUCACCAGGAUCUCACAGCAGACAGCUCUGACAUUGCCUUAACCUUGAAAUCACGACUGGGUGAGGCAGUGGUUCGCUGGAUCUCCUCCAGCAAUUGCUUGCCUAAUUCUAUUAAACCACGCCAACAGACUCAUAGGAUAAACACCCAAAUGAGCAAGCCACGUACCAGUCAUUAUUUACAAUGCACCAUUGCAAAGCCUCUCUAUCUUGAGCAACACUCACAAUCCUGCCCCAUUUUCAGUUUCAGUUUCCUUG
This is a long non-coding RNA of Passer montanus (Eurasian tree sparrow), 2472 nucleotides long. RefSeq lists it as uncharacterized. The record is from RefSeq and is a predicted model, not a curated record. The transcript has 4 exons. Lineage: Eukaryota; Metazoa; Chordata; Aves; Passeriformes; Passeridae.